AACUGAAUCCAUAGGUUAAUGAGGCGAACCGGGGGAACUGAAACAUCUAAGUACCCCGAGGAAAAGAAAUCAACCGAGAUUCCCCCAGUAGCGGCGAGCGAACGGGGAGGAGCCCAGAGCCUGAAUCAGUGUGUGUGUUAGUGGAAGCGUCUGGAAAGGCGCGCGAUACAGGGUGACAGCCCCGUACACAAAAAUGCACAUAUUGUGAGCUCGAUGAGUAGGGCGGGACACGUGGUAUCCUGUCUGAAUAUGGGGGGACCAUCCUCCAAGGCUAAAUACUCCUGACUGACCGAUAGUGAACCAGUACCGUGAGGGAAAGGCGAAAAGAACCCCGGCGAGGGGAGUGAAAAAGAACCUGAAACCGUGUACGUACAAGCAGUGGGAGCCUCUUAAUGGGGUGACUGCGUACCUUUUGUAUAAUGGGUCAGCGACUUAUAUUCUGUAGCAAGGUUAACCGAAUAGGGGAGCCGAAGGGAAACCGAGUCUUAACUGGGCGUUAAGUUGCAGGGUAUAGACCCGAAACCCGGUGAUCUAGCCAUGGGCAGGUUGAAGGUUGGGUAACACUAACUGGAGGACCGAACCGACUAAUGUUGAAAAAUUAGCGGAUGACUUGUGGCUGGGGGUGAAAGGCCAAUCAAACCGGGAGAUAGCUGGUUCUCCCCGAAAGCUAUUUAGGUAGCGCCUCGUGAAUUCAUCUCCGGGGGUAGAGCACUGUUUCGGCAAGGGGGUCAUCCCGACUUACCAACCCGAUGCAAACUGCGAAUACCGGAGAAUGUUAUCACGGGAGACACACGGCGGGUGCUAACGUCCGUCGUGAAGAGGGAAACAACCCAGACCGCCAGCUAAGGUCCCAAAGUCAUGGUUAAGUGGGAAACGAUGUGGGAAGGCCCAGACAGCCAGGAUGUUGGCUUAGAAGCAGCCAUCAUUUAAAGAAAGCGUAAUAGCUCACUGGUCGAGUCGGCCUGCGCGGAAGAUGUAACGGGGCUAAACCAUGCACCGAAGCUGCGGCAGCGACACUAUGUGUUGUUGGGUAGGGGAGCGUUCUGUAAGCCUGUGAAGGUGGCCUGUGAGGGUUGCUGGAGGUAUCAGAAGUGCGAAUGCUGACAUAAGUAACGAUAAAGCGGGUGAAAAGCCCGCUCGCCGGAAGACCAAGGGUUCCUGUCCAACGUUAAUCGGGGCAGGGUGAGUCGACCCCUAAGGCGAGGCCGAAAGGCGUAGUCGAUGGGAAACAGGUUAAUAUUCCUGUACUUGGUGUUACUGCGAAGGGGGGACGGAGAAGGCUAUGUUGGCCGGGCGACGGUUGUCCCGGUUUAAGCGUGUAGGCUGGUUUUCCAGGCAAAUCCGGAAAAUCAAGGCUGAGGCGUGAUGACGAGGCACUACGGUGCUGAAGCGACAAAUGCCCUGCUUCCAGGAAAAGCCUCUAAGCAUCAGGUAACAUCAAAUCGUACCCCAAACCGACACAGGUGGUCAGGUAGAGAAUACCAAGGCGCUUGAGAGAACUCGGGUGAAGGAACUAGGCAAAAUGGUGCCGUAACUUCGGGAGAAGGCACGCUGAUAUGUAGGUGAAGCGACUUGCUCGUGGAGCUGAAAUCAGUCGAAGAUACCAGCUGGCUGCAACUGUUUAUUAAAAACACAGCACUGUGCAAACACGAAAGUGGACGUAUACGGUGUGACGCCUGCCCGGUGCCGGAAGGUUAAUUGAUGGGGUUAGCGGUAACGCGAAGCUCUUGAUCGAAGCCCCGGUAAACGGCGGCCGUAACUAUAACGGUCCUAAGGUAGCGAAAUUCCUUGUCGGGUAAGUUCCGACCUGCACGAAUGGCGUAAUGAUGGCCAGGCUGUCUCCACCCGAGACUCAGUGAAAUUGAACUCGCUGUGAAGAUGCAGUGUACCCGCGGCAAGACGGAAAGACCCCGUGAACCUUUACUAUAGCUUGACACUGAACAUUGAGCCUUGAUGUGUAGGAUAGGUGGGAGGCUUUGAAGUGUGGACGCCAGUCUGCAUGGAGCCGACCUUGAAAUACCACCCUUUAAUGUUUGAUGUUCUAACGUGGGCCCCUUACCGGGGUUGCGGACAGUGUCUGGUGGGUAGUUUGACUGGGGCGGUCUCCUCCUAAAGAGUAACGGAGGAGCACGAAGGUUGGCUAAUCCUGGUCGGACAUCAGGAGGUUAGUGCAAUGGCAUAAGCCAGCUUGACUGCGAGCGUGACGGCGCGAGCAGGUGCGAAAGCAGGUCAUAGUGAUCCGGUGGUUCUGAAUGGAAGGGCCAUCGCUCAACGGAUAAAAGGUACUCCGGGGAUAACAGGCUGAUACCGCCCAAGAGUUCAUAUCGACGGCGGUGUUUGGCACCUCGAUGUCGGCUCAUCACAUCCUGGGGCUGAAGUAGGUCCCAAGGGUAUGGCUGUUCGCCAUUUAAAGUGGUACGCGAGCUGGGUUUAGAACGUCGUGAGACAGUUCGGUCCCUAUCUGCCGUGGGCGCUGGAGAACUGAGGGGGGCUGCUCCUAGUACGAGAGGACCGGAGUGGACGCAUCACUGGUGUUCGGGUUGUCAUGCCAAUGGCACUGCCCGGUAGCUAAAUGCGGAAGAGAUAAGUGCUGAAAGCAUCUAAGCACGAAACUUGCCCCGAGAUGAGUUCUCCCUGACUCCUUGAGAGUCCUGAAGGAACGUUGAAGACGACGACGUUGAUAGGCCGGGUGUGUAAGCGCAGCGAUGCGUUGAGCUAACCGGUACUAAUGAACCGUGAGGCUUAACCUUACAACGCCGAAG
RNAcentral lists this ribosomal RNA (2762 nucleotides) under Escherichia coli. Its description in RNAcentral is "partial 23S ribosomal RNA". It matches the Rfam family "Bacterial large subunit ribosomal RNA". The record is from RNAcentral. Lineage: Bacteria; Pseudomonadati; Pseudomonadota; Gammaproteobacteria; Enterobacterales; Enterobacteriaceae.